Molecule: ribosomal RNA, 480 nt
Filed under: marine sediment bacterium ISA-1302
Lineage: Bacteria
Description: bacterial SSU rRNA
Rfam family: Bacterial small subunit ribosomal RNA
Source: RNAcentral
UGGCGGCAGGCCUAACACAUGCAAGUCGAGCGGAAACGAGAUAUCUGAACCUUCGGGGAACGAUAUCGGCGUCGAGCGGCGGACGGGUGAGUAAUGCCUAGGAAAUUGCCCUGAUGUGGGGGAUAACCAUUGGAAACGAUGGCUAAUACCGCAUGAUGUCGUUUUCUAUAAACGAAGGUGACCAAAGAGGGGGACCGCAAGGCCUCUCGCGUCAGGAUAUGCCUAGGUGGGAUUAGCUAGUUGGUGAGGUAAGGGCUCACCAAGGCGACGAUCCCUAGCUGGUCUGAGAGGAUGAUCAGCCACACUGGAACUGAGACACGGUCCAGACUCCUACGGGAGGCAGCAGUGGGGAAUAUUGCACAAUGGGCGCAAGCCUGAUGCAGCCAUGCCGCGUGUAUGAAGAAGGCCUUCGGGUUGUAAAGUACUUUCAGUCGUGAGGAAGGCGGAUACGUUAAUAGCGUAUUCGUUGACGUUAGCGAC